AAGCCCAUAGCAUAAUUGGUAGUGCGCAUCGUUGAUAUCGGUGUUUGUAGAGGUUCAAGUCCUCUUGGGCUUA
Kwoniella shivajii is the source of this 73-nucleotide non-coding RNA. Lineage: Eukaryota; Fungi; Basidiomycota; Tremellomycetes; Tremellales; Cryptococcaceae. The record is from the annotation of a RefSeq genome assembly.